AAGCGGAGCCAUUCACUUGGGCGUUUCCUCCCUAAACUUUGGCCCGUUGGGUUUAGCAGCGGGCCCUUUUUAGGGCGGCG
Molecule: small RNA, 80 nt
Filed under: Filomicrobium insigne
Lineage: Bacteria; Pseudomonadati; Pseudomonadota; Alphaproteobacteria; Hyphomicrobiales; Hyphomicrobiaceae
Description: suhB
Rfam family: Makes More Granules Regulator RNA (mmgR)
About the family: SuhB later renamed mmgR (makes more granules regulator) was a putative non-coding RNA found multiple times in the Agrobacterium tumefaciens genome and related alpha-proteobacteria. Other non-coding RNAs uncovered in the same analysis include: speF, ybhL, metA, and serC.
Source: RNAcentral